GGUUGGUCCAAGUGCAGUGGUGUUUACAACUAAUUGAUCACAACCAGUUACAGAUUCCUUUGUUCCUUCUCCACUCCCACUGCUUCACUUGACCAGCCUUCA
This 102-nucleotide Y RNA is filed under the name Prolemur simus (greater bamboo lemur). Its description in RNAcentral is "Y RNA (ENSPSMG00000000863.1)". It matches the Rfam family "Y RNA". From Rfam's summary of the family: Y RNAs are components of the Ro ribonucleoprotein particle (Ro RNP), in association with Ro60 and La proteins. Lineage: Eukaryota; Metazoa; Chordata; Mammalia; Primates; Lemuridae. The record is from Rfam by way of RNAcentral.